CUGGGUAGAAAUAGCAGAGCCUUUUGAUCUGUCUGCAAAUGGAACAAACCGUGUAGGGGAUUUAUGAAAUGGUUUAAUCCUACGUAGACAGAAAAAUAACAUCCUUCUGACAUCUAGAGUAUGGAGUGCAAUCUGCACACUGGACUUGAUGGUUUCUGAACAAAAACUACCAGCUGCACCGGAUAUUCCAGAACGAGCUGAAGUAGGGCAGACUGUGGGAGAGUGUCUUGGAGUUCACACCAGUGACUAAAUCUUCUCCACUUCUAAAGCCACAGCACAGUCUACCAAGCGGUGUCUAUAGAUUUCCUCUCAGCAGAGGCAGAGUCCUAUCUGUGUGUGAGCCGGAGUGAGACUUUCCACAAUCAACAGCCUGCUACCCAAGGUGCAGGGGCGUGUAUGUGACAGCUCCACCACUCAGUGCUCUGGAGAACAGGGCAACUGAAAUUAGUUGGUCACCCAGAAGUAACCUCUUCAGAACCCAGUGAAUUACAAUGCCACAGUUCAAGUGGAUGUAUUUCCAUCUGGAAAACUACUAGUAACUGAAGAGUAACAGUGACACUGAAGAGUUCCAGCCGCUAACAAUGUUCUUCUGUCCGAAAGUCCACCCACCUGACCUGAAUUGCAACAGAGACACUGCCACAACCAAGAAAGGAGGAAAUGCUGCAUCUGAGCAGAGGACCCAGAACAAUGAAACUCAUUAAGCAUUGUUUUAAAAACUCAGGAUAGGUUUUAAACUGCCA
Mauremys mutica (yellowpond turtle) is the source of this 740-nucleotide long non-coding RNA. RefSeq lists it as uncharacterized. NCBI's taxonomy places the organism in Eukaryota, Metazoa, Chordata, Testudines, Geoemydidae. The transcript is spliced from 5 exons. The record is from RefSeq and is a predicted model, not a curated record.